Molecule: unclassified non-coding RNA, 361 nt
Filed under: uncultured fungus
Lineage: Eukaryota; Fungi
Description: partial contains 5.8S ribosomal RNA and internal transcribed spacer 2
Rfam family: 5.8S ribosomal RNA (bases 1-134)
Source: RNAcentral
UGGUUCUGGCAUCGAUGAAGAACGCAGCGAAAUGCGAUAAGUAAUGCGAAUUGCAGAAUUCCAGUGAGUCAUCGAAUCUUUGAACGCACAUUGCGCCCUUUGGCAUUCCGAAGGGCAUGCCUGUUCGAGCGUCAUUAUCACCCCUCAAGCCCCCGGCUUGGUGUUGGACGUUUUGGCGGAGGCCCCUCACGGGGCGCCCGCCCGUCCCAAAGACAAUGACGGCGGCCUCGUUGGACCCCCGGUACACUGAGUUCUUCACGGGACACGUACUGGAGUAAGGGUUCGCGGGGCACGGUCUGCCUCCCCUCAGGGAGAAUUUAUUUACAAGGUUGACCUCGGAUCAGGUAGGGAUACCCGCUGA